UNGACGCGUGAACGCGGGCUCGACGCGAUCGGANCGAAAGUCCCGUCGUCNCCGUGCGAGAGAGUAGCGCUCGUUCGAUGCACUUCUGAAGAGUAAGCGCCGCGACCGACGCGAAAGACUAGCGAAGCCCGNGNGUUGAGNGCGAGGCGCGUUCGCGCGUCUCGUAACCAGCCCGCGGGUGCGAAUAGAACUCGCUAGACCGCAGCGUCGAGAGAAUAUAGUUUCGAACGCCGGUGAUAUAUAUACGCGCUCGCCCGUAACGACGUAGGUGCGGCCGACCGAUCGCCUCCUGCUCGCAGGUCGCGGUCCGCGUCCGGUUCGUAUCCGAAAUCGUCGGCGACGUUAAGGCGUUCGGGCGUCCGCGGCGUCCGAGUCGGUCACCCGUCCGACCCGUCUUGAAACACGGACCAAGGAGUCUAACGUAAGCGCGAGCUAAUGGGCGGAAAACCCAUGAGCGCAAUAAAAGUAAAAGUCGUUUCGGACGGCUUAGGUACGAUCCCGGGGGCGGAUACGUAUCCCCGGGCGCAGUACCGUCCCGUCCCGACCGCUCGUCGGUAGGGCGGAGAUAGAGUUCCAACGUUGGAACCGGAAAGAUGGUGAAUUCAACUUCCACGGAGGGAAGCCGUAGGUAGUUCCNGCCGAGUUACAAGUUCCAUGAGGGAAGCG
Molecule: ribosomal RNA, 666 nt
Filed under: Xiphinema setariae
Lineage: Eukaryota; Metazoa; Nematoda; Enoplea; Dorylaimida; Longidoridae
Description: partial large subunit ribosomal RNA
Rfam family: Eukaryotic large subunit ribosomal RNA
Source: RNAcentral